Molecule: ribosomal RNA, 253 nt
Filed under: uncultured prokaryote
Description: partial 16S ribosomal RNA
Rfam family: Bacterial small subunit ribosomal RNA
Source: RNAcentral
UACGAAGGUGGCAAGCGUUGUUCGGAAUUAAUGGGCGAAAAGCGAGUGUAGGCGGCUCUUCAAGUCAGGCGUGAAAGCCCUGAGCUCAACUCAGGAACUGCGCUUGAUACUGUCGAGCUAGAGUGUGGAAGGGGCAAUCGGAAUUCCGUGUGUAGCGGUGAAAUGCGUAGAUAUACGGAGGAACACCAGAGGCGAAGGCGGAUUGCUGGGCCAACACUGACGCUGAGACGCGAAAGCCAGGGUAGCAAACGGG